UACGAAGGGGGCUAGCGUUGCUCGGAAUUACUGGGCGUAAAGGGCGCGUAGGCGGUUUGGACAGUCAGGCGUGAAAUUCCCGGGCUUAACCUGGGGGCUGCGCUUGAUACAUCCAGGCUUGAGUGGGGAAGAGGGUCGUGGAAUUCCCAGUGUAGAGGUGGAAUUCGUAGAUAUUGGGAAGAACACCGGUGGCGAAGGCGGCAUCCUGGACCGACACUGACGCUGAGGAGCGAAAGCCAGGGGAGCAAACGGG
This 253-nucleotide ribosomal RNA is filed under the name uncultured bacterium. RNAcentral's name for it is "partial 16S ribosomal RNA". It matches the Rfam family "Bacterial small subunit ribosomal RNA", at positions 524 to 776 of the family's 1533-position model. The record is from RNAcentral.